Molecule: ribosomal RNA, 300 nt
Filed under: Coenagrion pulchellum
Lineage: Eukaryota; Metazoa; Arthropoda; Insecta; Odonata; Coenagrionidae
Also listed under: 1 other name
Description: partial 16S ribosomal RNA
Source: RNAcentral
UUAGUCUUUUAAUAGAAGGCUGGAAUGAAAGGUUUAACGAAAAAUUAGCUGUCUCAAUUAUAAACUUGAAUUUAGCUUUUAAGUCAAAAGGCUUAAAUUUAUUUGAUGGACGAGAAGACCCUAUAGAGCUUUACAUUUUAAUUUAAUAAAUUUAUUUGGAUUAAUAAUUUGAAUUUAUUUAUUUGAAUGUUUUGUUGGGGUGACAAGAAAUAUAUAAUUAACUUUUAUUAUUUAAUUUACAUUAAUGUAUGAUUAUUGGAUCCAUUAUUAUUGAUCAAUAGAUUAAGUUACCUUAGGGAU